RNAcentral lists this non-coding RNA (24 nucleotides) under Drosophila erecta. The record is from RNAcentral. Lineage: Eukaryota; Metazoa; Arthropoda; Insecta; Diptera; Drosophilidae. RNAcentral also lists the same sequence under 8 other names.
ACUCUUAAUCUCAGGGUCGUGGGU